RNAcentral lists this ribosomal RNA (651 nucleotides) under Salmonella enterica subsp. enterica serovar Uganda. RNAcentral describes it as "partial 23S ribosomal RNA". It matches the Rfam family "Bacterial large subunit ribosomal RNA", at positions 2089 to 2739 of the family's 2925-position model. Lineage: Bacteria; Pseudomonadati; Pseudomonadota; Gammaproteobacteria; Enterobacterales; Enterobacteriaceae. The record is from RNAcentral.
CCCCGUGAACCUUUACUAUAGCUUGACACUGAACAUUGAGCCUUGAUGUGUAGGAUAGGUGGGAGGCUUUGAAGCGUGGACGCCAGUCUGCGUGGAGCCGACCUUGAAAUACCACCCUUUAAUGUUUGAUGUUCUAACGUGGACCCGUAAUCCGGGUUGCGGACAGUGUCUGGUGGGUAGUUUGACUGGGGCGGUCUCCUCCUAAAGAGUAACGGAGGAGCACGAAGGUUGGCUAAUCCUGGUCGGACAUCAGGAGGUUAGUGCAAUGGCAUAAGCCAGCUUGACUGCGAGCGUGACGGCGCGAGCAGGUGCGAAAGCAGGUCAUAGUGAUCCGGUGGUUCUGAAUGGAAGGGCCAUCGCUCAACGGAUAAAAGGUACUCCGGGGAUAACAGGCUGAUACCGCCCAAGAGUUCAUAUCGACGGCGGUGUUUGGCACCUCGAUGUCGGCUCAUCACAUCCUGGGGCUGAAGUAGGUCCCAAGGGUAUGGCUGUUCGCCAUUUAAAGUGGUACGCGAGCUGGGUUUAGAACGUCGUGAGACAGUUCGGUCCCUAUCUGCCGUGGGCGCUGGAGAACUGAGGGGGGCUGCUCCUAGUACGAGAGGACCGGAGUGGACGCAUCACUGGUGUUCGGGUUGUCAUGCCAAUGGCACU